GAAUCUAUCGGAUGAUGCGGCAUCCUUUUAGCGCAGCGGAAAGAUAUAGUGGAAAGCAGGAAAAAAC
Molecule: non-coding RNA, 67 nt
Filed under: Pedobacter suwonensis
Lineage: Bacteria; Pseudomonadati; Bacteroidota; Sphingobacteriia; Sphingobacteriales; Sphingobacteriaceae
Source: RNAcentral